AAGCAACCCAGAGCCCUCCUCCCGCCUGCUCUGUGUAGGAGACAGCCUGCGGAGCCCACUGCCGGCGCGCAGAGAGCCCAGCAGCUCUUGAGUCCAGGAAGCAAGGGUGGGAGGAGGGACGAGCCAGUGGCAAUGACCCAGACCCGGACGACCCCCAUUGCUGAGCCAGCGGAGCUGCUUGGAGGCAGAGGUUGCAGUGAGCUGAGAUUUUGCGACUACACUCCAACCUGGGCAACAGAGCGGGACUCCAUUCCAAAAAAAUAAGAAAAACAGAAAAAUAAUAAUUACAUCUGCAAAGACCUUAUUUCCAGAGACAGAGUUUUGCUGUGUUGCCAGGCUGAUCAACUCCUGAGCUUAUGCAAUCCACUCACCUCGGCCUCCCAAAGUGCCAGGAUUACAGGCGUGAGCCACCUUGCCCGGCCAAGAUGAGGUAUUAUUACAUCAUUAUUGUAAGGCAAGAAGAAUCUGUUGGAUGAUUACAACAUUGCUGGAUUGAUAGCAGCCUCACCUGCCAGGCUCAAACUCCAGAUCCAAAGUCCACAAAUAUAUCAUAAAUCUGAAGAGGAACUGGGAGAAGCUUCUGCUGGCAGCUCAUGCCAUUGUUGCCAUUGAAAACCCUGCUGAUGUGUCAUAUCCUGCAGGAAUACUAGCUAGUGGGCUGUGCUGAAGUUUGCUGCUGCUGCUGGAGCCACAUGUAUUGCUGGUCACUUCACUUCUGGAACCUUUGCUAACCAGAUCCAAUCAUCUUCUGCCACCCACAUCUUCUGGUGGUUACUGAUUCUAGGGCUAACUAUCAGCCUCUCUCAGGGGCUUCUUAUGGUAACCUACCUACCUACCACUGCUGUAUGUAACAGAUUCUCCUCUGAGCUAUGUGGAUAUUGUCAUCCCAUGCAACAACAAGGAAGCUCAAUCACUGAGUCUAAUGUAGUGGAUGCUGGCCCAGGAAGCUCUGUGCAUGUGUUGCACCAUCUCCCAUGAUCAUGCCUGAUCUCUACUUCUAUAGAGAUCCUGAAGAGAUUGAAAAGGAAGAGUAGGCUGCAGCUGAAAAAGGAGGAAUUUCAAAGUGAAUGGACUGCUGUAGUGCAAGUUUACUGCUACUCAAUCUGAGGUUGCAGACUGGUUUAAAGACAUGCAGGUGCCCUCUGUGCCUAUUCAGCAGUUCCCUACUGAAGAUUGGAGCACUUAGCCUACCAUGAAUGACUGGUCUGCAACUUCCACUGCUCAGACCACUGAAUGGGUAAGAAUAACCACUGAGUGGCCUUAAGCUGUUCUUCCACAAGCUCUUAAACAAGAUGGAAAUAACGCUGAUGGAAAUAAACAACAGUUUCCAAGAAAACACGAACAGCUGAAGUGGCAAUGUUUAAGUAACAUCUGGUAGACUUUAACAUGAAUGUUAUUAAGCAGGAAAUUAUGAUCUUUUAAGUUGGAACAUGUAAUGUUAAUCCUUUUGCACCAAAAUAUCUCUUUAAGUCUAAAUUAUCCACUUUUUUUUUUAAUUCUUCGUAGAGAUAGAGGUUUCGCUUUGUUGCCCAGGCUGUUCUUGACUUCCUAACUUCAAGCAAUCCUUCUGCCUCAGCCUCCCAGAGUGCUGGGAUUAUAGGCAUUUGCCACCGUGCCUGGUGUACCCAGUUUCUGUUAUCAACAGAAUGCAGUGGUGUAUGGUUGCUAAAGGGUCCCAAGAUCAGGACCUACGUUAAGGUGGAUUUUGAAUUAUUUAAAAUUCUGAUUUUGUUUUAUUUUUAAUUAAUCUUUGGGGGAAGGAUGGGAGGGGGGUGAGGGUUGAAGAAGUAAACAUUGUACCUAUUGGAUACAAUGUUUAAUAUUUGUGUGAUGGGCACACUGGAAGCCCAAACCUCACUAUUACACAAUACAUUCAUGUAACAAGCCUGCACAUGCACCUCCUGAAUCUAUUUUUAAAAAUUUAAUUCUCUAGCACAGACUCCCUUUUUUUGGUAAGAUGGCGGGGUACGACUUAACUACUCGCAUCACGCACCUUUUGGAUCGGCAUCUAGUCUUUCCGCUCCUUGAGUUUCUCUCUGUAAAGGAGAUAUAUAAAGAAAAGGAAUUAUUACAAGGUAAAUUGGACCUUCUUAGUGAUGCCAACAUGGUAGACUUUGCUAUGGAUGCAUACAAAAACCUUUAUUCUGAUGAUAUUCCUCAUGCUUUGAAAGAGAAUAGAACCACAGUUGUUGCACAACUGAAACAGCUUCAGGCAGAAACAGAACUAAUUGUGAAAAUGUUUGAAGAUCCAGAAACGACAAGGCAAAUGCGGUCAACCAGGGAUGGUAGGAUGCUCUUUGACUACCUGGCGGACAAGCAUGGUUUUAGGCAGGAGUAUUUAGAUACAUUCUACACAUAUGCAAAAUUCCAGUAUGAAUGUGGGAAUUACUCAGGAGCAGCAGAAUAUCUUUAUUUUUUCAGAGUGUUGGUUCCAGCAACAGACAGAAAUGCUGUAAGUUCACUCUGGGGAAAGCUGGCCUCUGAAAUCUUAAAGCAGAAUUGGGAUGCAGACAUGGAAGACCUUACAUGGUUAAAAGAGACCAUAGAUAAUAAUUCUGUGAGUUCUCCACUCCAGUCUCUUCAGCAGAGAGCAUGGCUCGUUCACUGGUCUCUGUUUUCUUCAAUCACCCCAAAGGUUGUGAUAAUAUUGUUGAUCUCUUCCUUUACCAGCCACAGCAUCUUAAUGUGUCCACACAUUCUUCACUAUUUGACUACAGCAGUCAUAGCAAACAAGGAUGUUCGAAAACGUUGGCAGGUGCUAAAAGAUCUAGGUAAAGUUACUCAACAGGAGUCUUACACAUAUAAAGACCCAAUUACAGAAUUUGUUGAAUGCUUAUAGAUUAACUUUGACUUAGAUGGGGCUAAGAAAAAGCUGAGAGAAUGUGAAUCAGUGCUUGUGAACGACUUCUUGGUGGCUUGUCUUAAGGAUUUCAUUGACAAUGCCCAUCUCUUCAUAUUUGAGACUUUCUGUCACAUCCACCAGUGUAUCAGCAUUAACAUGUUGGCAGACAAAUUGAACAUGACUCCAGAUGAAACUGAAAGGUGGAUUGUAAAUGUGAUUAGAAAUGCAAGACUGGAUGCCAAGAUUGAUUCUAAAUUAGGUCAUGUGGUUAUGGUAACAAUGUACUCUCACCCUAUCAGCAAGUGAUUGAAAAGACCAAAAGCCUUUCUUUUAGAAGCUAGAUUUUGGCCAUGAAUAUUGAGAAGAAACUUAAUGACAAUAGCAGGUCAGAGGCUCCUAACUGGGCAACUCAAGAUUCUGGCUUCUACUGAAGAAACAUAAGGAAAAGAUUUUAAAAAAACUCUAAAAGAAAGAUGAAAUAAUAAAACUAUUAUAUAAAGGGUGACUUACAUUUUGGAAACAACAUAUUGAGUGUAAAUUGUGAAGAAUUGGAAUAAAAUUGACUGAUUCAAAAAAAUUUAAUUCACAAAAAAAUUUUAAUCCUUUUAAGCUAAUUAUAGAUUCACAUGUAGUUGUAAGAAGUUACAAAGAGGCUAGGUGCAGUAGCUGACGCCCAUGAUCCCCGCACUUUGGGAGGCCGAGGCAGGCAGAUCUCUUGAGGCCAGGAGUUUGAGACUAGCCUGGCCAACAUGGCAAAACCCCAUCUCUACAAAAAAUUAGCAAAGCAUGGUGGCACAUGCCUGUAAUUACAGCUACUUGGGAGGCUGAGGCAUGAGAAUCACUUGACCUGGGAUUACAAGUGUAAUCCCAGCCAUAGGCUGGGUGCAGUGGCUCACACCUGUAAUCCCAGCACUUUGGGAGGCCAAGGUACGGGUGGAUCACCUGAGGUCAAGAGUUCAAGACCAGCCUGGCCAACAUGGUGAAACCCCGUCUCUACAAAAACACAAAAAUUAGCCGGGCAUGAUGGUGCGCACCUGUAAUCCCAGCUACUCAGGAGGCUGAGGCAGGAGAAUCGCAUGAACCCAGGAGGCAGAUGUUGCAGUGAGCCAAGAUCACGCCAUUGCACUCCAGCCUGGGCAACAGAGUGAGACUCCACCUCAAAAAAAAAAAAACAAAAAAAAACCACCAGCCAUUUGGGAAGCCAAGGCAGGAUUGCUUGAGACCAACCAGAAGUUCAAGGUUGCCUGGGCAACAGAGCAAGACUGUCUCGAGACAAAACAAAAAGUCAGCAUCUUCUGCCCACUUUUACUUUAACAUACAUUUAUGGAUCUAUUGUCUCUUUCCCUGUUCUAAAACUUUAAAUUUCACAAGAAUGAAGAUUUUGCUGUCUUGUUUCCUGCUGUGUCCCCAGCAUAAACAGCAUAAAGAAGUGCCAUAAGAUAGAAAUUUUUGUUUUCUGUUCACCAGUAUAUCCACAGCACCUAGAACAGCAUCUGCUUUAGACUUAUUAGAUGAAGACUUAAAAAAAAAAGGAACAGCACUUCUGCACAUAUUUAGCACUUGAUACAUAUUUGUGGAAUAAUUUCUAUCAUAACUAGCAGCUACUUCCUAAUUUGAUAUGUAGCAUCCCGUAUUAACAGGACUUUUGUGAAUGGAGAGGACAUCUAUUUAUUCUUUGUUAUGUGCCAAAUAUAUUUGUAUUAAUCAUAACUCUUAAUAUUCCUUUAAAAUUAAAUAAUUGUUUCCACAGCUCUUAAAAUAGAAUUUAGGAACCUAGCAACAUGCCACUCAUCCAUUAACAGUGAUAAAUUAUUUAAUUUUAUAAACUUUUCAUUAAAGUAACUGAUAUAGUUUGGA
RNAcentral lists this long non-coding RNA (4699 nucleotides) under Homo sapiens (human). RNAcentral's name for it is "KHDC1 antisense RNA 1, transcript variant 22 (KHDC1-AS1)". The record is from RNAcentral. Lineage: Eukaryota; Metazoa; Chordata; Mammalia; Primates; Hominidae.